GGCAACAGCCAUAUCACCCUGUAGCCCAAGACCGGUUGCCCACUGAAGCUAAGCAGGGUUGAGCCUGGUCAGGAGACCUGGAUGGGAGACAACUAGGUGGCGCUGGAA
RNAcentral lists this ribosomal RNA (108 nucleotides) under Sinocyclocheilus grahami. Lineage: Eukaryota; Metazoa; Chordata; Actinopteri; Cypriniformes; Cyprinidae. The record is from RNAcentral.